Molecule: ribosomal RNA, 253 nt
Filed under: uncultured bacterium
Lineage: Bacteria
Description: partial 16S ribosomal RNA
Rfam family: Bacterial small subunit ribosomal RNA
Source: RNAcentral
UACGAAGGGGGCUAGCGUUGUUCGGAAUUACUGGGCGUAAAGCGUGCGCAGGCGGCUUCCCAAGUCAGUGGUGAAAGCCCGGAGCUCAACUCCGGAAUUGCCAUUGAAACUGUGGAGCUCGAGAACGAGAGAGGUGAGUGGAAUUCCCGGUGUAGCAGUGAAAUGCGUAGAGAUCGGGAGGAACACCAGUGGCGAAGGCGGCCUUCUGGACCAAUACUGACGCUCAUGCACGAAAGCGUGGGGAGCAAACAGG